UGCAGAUCUUGGUGGUAGUAGCAAUUAUUCAAAUGAGAAUUUUGAAGGCCGAAGUGGAGAAGGUUUCCGUGAGAACAGCAAUUGGUCACGGGUGACUCGAUCCUAAGACAUGGGGGAAGUCCCUGUUAAGUGCGCGCUUGCGCGUGGUCGAAAGGGAAUGAGGUUAAUAUUCCUCAAGCUGGAUGUGGAUGUUGUAUGGUAACAUAAGUGAGCCUGGGAACGCCGGCACGAGCCUCUGGAAGAGUUAUCUUUUCUUUUUAACAGGCCAGCGGCCCUGAAAUGGGAUUAUCCCGAGAUAGGGCGGCAAGUCUGGAAGAGCGCUUCGCUUUCCGAAGCGUCAGGUGCGCUCGUGACGGUCCAUGAAAACCCAGGUGAGAUAGUUUCGCACCAGGUCGUACCCAUAACCGCAUCAGGUCUCCAAGG
RNAcentral lists this ribosomal RNA (423 nucleotides) under Strombidium rassoulzadegani. RNAcentral describes it as "partial Eukaryotic large subunit ribosomal RNA". It matches the Rfam family "Eukaryotic large subunit ribosomal RNA", at positions 1443 to 1872 of the family's 3401-position model. The record is from RNAcentral. Lineage: Eukaryota; Ciliophora; Spirotrichea; Strombidiidae.